Molecule: unclassified non-coding RNA, 387 nt
Filed under: soil metagenome
Description: partial contains 5.8S ribosomal RNA, internal transcribed spacer 2, and large subunit ribosomal RNA
Rfam family: 5.8S ribosomal RNA (bases 1-120)
Source: RNAcentral
GAUGAAGAACGUAGCGAAAUGCGAUAAGUAAUGUUAAUUGCAGAAUUCAGUGAAUCAUCGAAUCUUUGAACGCACAUUGCGCCCAUUAGUAUUCUAGUGUGCAUGCCUGUUCGAGCGUCAUUAAUUCCACUUAAGCCCUGCUUAGUGUUGGGAAUCUACUCUAGUGGUGCUACCCUGGAGCUACCCCUGAAAGGGGGCUGGCCCGGUAGCUACCCUGUAGUUCCUCAAAGAUAGUGCGCGGAGUUGCGUGGUCCUCUGAGCUUAGUAACUAUACACCUAGCUUUUGAGUGUCCCGCGGCGCCUGCCGUUUAAACCCCAUCUUUUAAUGGUUGACCUCGGAUCAGGUAGGAAUACCCGCUGAACUUAAGCAUAUCAAUAAGCGGAGGA